This is a long non-coding RNA of Mus musculus (house mouse), 529 nucleotides long. RefSeq annotates it as mediator complex subunit 9, opposite strand. The transcript is spliced from 2 exons. Lineage: Eukaryota; Metazoa; Chordata; Mammalia; Rodentia; Muridae. The record is from RefSeq and is marked validated.
UUGCUAGGCGACGGGUGUCGGGAAAGCUAAAUUGAGUAGUCAGGAUUAGGGAAUCUACUCCAGUCAUCUUUCUAGUUCACAUGACAGAGAGAGGUCAAAACACCAACGAGGACCCCCGGGACUGGCAGGAAGAACGGAUGACGCUGGUGAGCACCGUGUGAAACUGAGGCUCUGCGGCAGCGAGCAUCCAGAUGACAAGGACUUACACGUCUUUGUGUCAUGCUAGCCUCCAGGAGGGCCCCAGACUGGCGACAGCAAAACAGGCCAUACAAACUAGUUCCACACGGCUGCCAAGGGGAAAACUAAUCGUUCUUCAAGCAUUUGGGGAAGGGCCAUGAUUCCUGAGGAAGAAGGGAGAAGAGAAUGGUCUAAGAUGGAACCAGGUGUGCCAGAAAAGACUUGAAGACACCUCUGGAGACAUCUGGGAGAAUGCAUGGUAAAACGGCAGUGUUAGCAAACAGUAGCUAUCACUACUACUGUGGAAUGAAAGUGACGAGAAACCAUUAAAACCCUCAUUUAAUCCACCGAG